GGAUAGGUGGGUGACCUGGCUGCAAUAUAUUCAAUCCCACCGAAUGACAGCAUAGAUUUAACUGAUCUGGCUGGCUAGGAAGGUGUCUUCUCCCUCCCUCAUGUUUAAUAUGUGUCCCUGGUUGAACAGGAUGAACUUCUGUGAAUAGAGAUGGAUUGCUUCUCUGUGAAGAAUAGUAUUUGAGUAGCUGCUGUCCCCUGUUAGAACCUCCAGACAAACUGUCAAGGUCCGUAGCUUUCUUAACUAAUCAUUUGUCAUUGCUUCCAAGUUUGUUCUAGUCUAACUAGUACUGUUGUAAAC
RNAcentral lists this small nuclear RNA (300 nucleotides) under Erinaceus europaeus (western European hedgehog). Its description in RNAcentral is "7SK RNA". It matches the Rfam family "7SK RNA". Rfam says of the family: 7SK was discovered as an abundant small nuclear RNA in the mid-70s but a possible function has only recently been suggested. Lineage: Eukaryota; Metazoa; Chordata; Mammalia; Eulipotyphla; Erinaceidae. The record is from Rfam by way of RNAcentral.